ACAUGUGAUAUGAAGUUGUAAAGUUGAGAAUAGCUUGAAGUUGUAUUCGACCUGGGGCCCUUCCAAGUUCCAAAGAAAAGCCUCGACAUUCCAUCAGAAUUUUAGGUGAAAGAACUUCGGAUUAUAUUAAGUCAAGAUACCAAUUUUUCCAUUACAUUGAAGGAUCCUGAAUUUACAUUAGAGAUGUGAGCCAAAACAGAUGGCAAACGCGGGGGGUGAGAGCUAGACAAGAGCACCACCUUUAAGAUAUUCAGUGAAGGCGAGUGCAACCAGACCCAACAUGGCAAACCUCCCAUUCCACAUCUCCGCAUCAGAAGUCAUCAACCCCUUCGAUUUGGACUCCACGCUCACACCUUUGAACAAGGGAAUCAGAGAAGCCAGUGAGAGUACAACAGCGGUUCCCAGGAACCAUGGAAUCCCACCGUUGGAUAUCUGAGCAAACACAUCCUCACCCUUCCAUAUUUCCGCACCCAUUGCCGCAACAAAGCCUACCAUGGCAAGCCUGCCGUUGAUCCUCUCCGGUGCCGGCCCACUAAAUGCGAACACAUCCCCAAAUUUAGUGCUCACCUGCCACAAAAUUCAAAAACAUAUAUAUAUUCUCAUGUUAUAAACCCCACCGGAAAAGUGACCAUGGAAAGAAGUUACCCGCGGACUUUACAUACCUUAGGCGCAGGAGGAGGAGGAGGAGGAGGGAUCGGUUGACGUGACUGUGAGAGUGAGGGUGGCUGCUGGGGGUUGGUGGUGACAGGAGGUGGCCGUUCGAUUUGGCCAUCCUGCACAAUGGUUACGAGAUCAGUUGUCAAAAUCCCAUAAAUCGGCUGACAUUAUCUGCUAUGAUCUGAGUGGAGGUUGAGAUCUUACCUCCUUGGUGCACCGCACCUGCACAGCACUCCUUUGAAGACGUAGCACCGACCUGGGAGGGACGACCUGGAGAUCUCUGGUUCUGUUGGCUACGCGUGUCAUAGCUGUUGCAAGGGUGGAUUGCAUGGUGGUUGCCAUGGCCAUCAGCGUCGACUCCGAAAUUCUUAGCGAGUCGUGCAAGGGCUUCCAAUGGCGCUAUGAUGCUAUGGCGAUGCUACUGUGUACUUCUGAGUGUGGGUAUGAAGAUUGGAGCCUGGCAGCAUUAUUUAUAACGUGGGAGGGUAAAGGCUAAAGCGAGGUGUGGACAUUUUGAGUUCCACGUCAUUUUCUCAGAGUUGUCCAGAGAUUGGAUCACGUGGGCUCAUAUUUGUCCACACAUGUAUAGGUUGACGACGUGGUCUCUGCUCCGCUCCACACAAUAUCACCAUAUGUUAGGUUGACGACGUGGGCUCCGCUCCCAGCACCCACAAUAUCAUCGCAUGUGGCUGUCGAGUCUGCCUUGUUCUAGGUUUUUCCAGCCCCGAAAUUAGGCAGAUGUCCAUUUGUUAUGUCAUUAAAUUCAUCUUCGUCAACCAUAACCAUUCACACCUUUGCACAAAUUAAAUUCAGAAUUAAUUUGAAAACUUGUACACUGCUUUAAAAUAUUAUUUAUUUUUAUCAUAGAUGUUUUGUUUUUCUUUAAAAAAUCUAUGUAGUUUAUAUUUAUAAUCGAUGUUAUACAAAUUUCAUAUCAUAAUAUCAAUAUUCUAAAUUUUCUUUUAUUUUCAAACGUUACAUAACCAUAUUAAUCCCAUAUUGUUACGUGACAUGGCAUUAAAACUAAAAGAAAUUUUAUAUCAUGCCGUUUUUCAAAUCAAAAUUUUGCUGGGAAGCUCACAACAGAUGUGGAAUGGCUGCCCUGAUAGUUUCAACUCCUCAUCAAUCAAAAACUUGAGGCCCUCGAUCACGAAAAAUUAAUCCCACAAAUUACAGAUUAUCAGAAACUACUACUGCAGUAUCUGCGUUAAUCAAUAGGCGGACUUUUAGAGAACAAGACCCACAAGGAAGAAUAAACGAUGCGGGCAAAGAAUCUGGUGUCUGUAAAGAGAUCUUGCUUCCGUCCCUAAACACAGCAUACCCCAUUUCCCCCAAUUCAGACGAAUCAACAGAGAAGUAAUCACCGCAGCGACACUGGUAAAAGAGCUCUAAUACUUUGCCAUCAUCUUCAAUUGUCAUAUCCUCUAAGCUGAGAUCUUCAGCUGUGGCUGUAUCCUGUCUUGAAGCUUGCAGCCCACUAUCAUAAACAGCUCGUGACCUUGGAUCACUGAGGGUUUCCCAAGCCUUCUGUAUUUUCAGGAAUCUAUCUCCUGACUCAGGAUCAGUAUUGGAUGUCUCUGUUGUCUUUUGCAAUUUAUCAGGAUGGGAAUUGAGGAUGGCAGAUCGGUAGCAUCCACGGAUCUCUUCAUAGCUUGCAUCUUCCUUGACAGAGAGAAUGUCAUAGUAAGUUUGCUCAAAGGAGUUCUUAUAAAGAAGCAUGGUUUGAUUCCACUUGCAUCAGACUGCUUUCCCUGCAAAUGCAAUGAAAACUGUCAUAUUAUCUACUUUGUAGUAAAUUCAAUGACCAAACCCACCUUCAGAAUGGUGACAAUGUCUACCCUCUGAUGCAGAAAGAUGUCUGACUAUAGUGUAAUCUUUAGACUGUUACACUUCUAAUUUAACUUUUACCUUCUUUUUGGGAAUACCAAACUUUGGAUCAGGCAGACGCACAUUUAAACUUUACCCGGUUUUAGCCCAGACCAACAUAUAGUUGAUUGGAAAAAGGUUAUUCCAUGCUGAAAUUUCUAAACACUAUGUUAACUAAUCAAACAGUUUUGAACUUUAACUGGAUCAGAUUAUGGUAAAAAUAAAUAAAUAAAAUAAAAAGAAUGAGCAACUAAGAAAUCCAAAAUAGAGGGGCUCUAAAAGUGAUUUAAUGAAGAACUCCUUCAAUCUUUGAUCUGAGAGUUCAUCAUUAUCGAAAGUUCUUCAGUUGUACUCCUUCCAAAUACACCAAAAUAAACAAACCGGAGCCAAGCGCUGAACCUUUCUUUUUUUAUCUAGCCCCUUAAAUUUUCAUUCAAGGAGGAUAUUUCUCACUGAAAUCAAAGACACCCAAAUUGUGCCAAAAACUGCUACCAGAAAAGUUCAUAGCAUUCUUGUCUUAUCACAAUGAAUCAAGAUGUGAUUAGCCAAUUCUUCAUCAUCUUUACAAAAGUUGCAUCUAUUGAUGAUGGGUCAUCUCCCCUUCAUUAACAUAUCUAUAGUUAAGAUCUUCCCCAAACAACUUCCCAUGCAAAAAAUUAAAAAACAAGCUAAGUGGAGCAUGGAAACCCCAAAUCUUUUUGGCUGGAAAUACUAAAUUAUUCUCAGCACUUGAGGAUUUGUAGUACAACUUGACACUAAAGUUUCCCCUCCUAUCAUCUUUCCAAAGUAAAUUGUUCUAUCCUACUCACACUUUCAAUAAGUAAAUAAGUCCCAAAAAUUGGGUCCCCUCCUCUAUCUCUCAAUAUUGGAAGGGUCUAAAUUAAACCUCCCAAUGGCCACCUCCGGCUCCUCCUUCCUCCCAUAAAUCUGCAACCGUAGCACUUUUGGAAGAGUCUAUUCUGAAAAGUGCAGGUGUCCUCCCUCUCAUAAAAUGUUUACAUCAACAAAUGGAAUAUGUGACCCAUACCAAAUAGCUGCUAGUUACCCGAAUAUAUAUAUAUUAUAAGUAAGAGGGUGAAUUAAUAAAUGCUUAAAGCAUACAAAAGUACACGGGUCGUAUACAAAGAGCACCAAACAAAAAGCAAGAAAGAGGGUACACAAAAAACUACUCCCUCCUACAUCCAAGACCCAACCAGUCUAUGAAAUCAACCAAAUGUGUAUAUCCUCCACCUAUAUAUACCCUAAUCCCAUGCAAAGAAAUUGUUAAGGAAAAUAUUUUUUAGCCUUUAAUUUGAUAAUUCCUCACAUUCAAAGAAUCUCCUAUUUUUUUUCCUUCUAGAUUGUCCAAAAAAUACAAGAAGCAGCUUUGCUAGUUACCCGAAUAUUGAACGCAAUCAUCACAUUAGACAAAAUGGCACAAAGAAUAUGAAAUCCAACAGUGAGCCAGUGCCUCAAAGUUUGCUGUGACAACUGGGUAGUCUUGAAUGGUUGAAAAAAUCAGUACUCCCCAUUCAACAACAAUGAUGUUUACAAUGCUUUUAGAAGAAAUGGAUAUUCUUUGGCAAAUAAGAGAGUGAAGUCGUUCCCUUUUGACAUAGUUUGGAAUUCUUGGGUACCAUCAAGAAUUAGCUUUUUUGUUUAGGAAACAACUUAGACAAAGAUUUUGACUCUAGAUCAACUCAAAAAAAGAGGUUGGAGGAUUCCUAAUAAAUAUUACUUGUUUAAGGAAGAAGAAGAAACGAAUGACCAUAUUCUCACUCAUUGUUCAAAAGCUUGCUUAUUAUGAUAGUUGAUUUUUGCUUACUCAGUUCUACAACUCACGUAUUUCUACAGCAACUUACUCAGUUCUUGUUAAUGGCACACCGACAAGAUUUUUCAACAGCUCAAGGGGGUUGAAAAAAAGGGACCCCCUUUCGCCCUAUCUUUUUGUGAUAGGUAUGGAAACCUUAAGCUGUUUGAUUAAGAAAGCAGUUAGUGGGGGCCAUUUGACAAGCUGCAGGGUUAAAGGGAGGGAUGGUGAGGGAGUUCAACUCACCCAUCUGUUGUAUGCUAAUGAUAUGCUGAUUUUUUGCGAAGCCUCUACGGAACAACUAACUCACCUAAACUAGGUGUUAAUGUGGUUUGAAGCCAUCUCUAGUUUAAGAAUUAAUUUGGACAAAAAUGAGAUCCUACCAGUGGGGAGGGUGGAGAAUUUGGAGGAGUUGGGCCUUGAGCUUGGGUGUAAGGUGGGGACACUCCCUCAUACUCAGGGCUUCCUUUGGGUGCCCCUCACAAAUCAGCGACAGUUUGGGAUGGUAUGGAAGAGAGGUUUUGGAAGAGAUUAGCUAUAUGAAAGAGGCAAUAUAUAUUUAAAGGAGGAAGACCCACUCUCAUUCGAAGCACUUAGUCCAAUAUGUUUAUUAACUAUAUGUCUAUUCUACGUACGCCUAGAUCGGUUAGAUUGAGACUUGAGCAAAUCCAAAGGGAUUUCCUUUGGGGUGAGGGGCUUUGGAGUGGAAGACUCAUCUUGUUAAGUGGACGGUUGUAUGCUUAGAUAAAAGUAAGAGUGGUUUGGGUGUUAGAUGCAUUUCUAAACUUAAUGGAGCCCUUUUGGGUAAAUGGAGUGGCGCUUCAUGGUAGAAAGGGAAGCUCUUUGGAAACAAGUUAUUAGUAUGAAGUAUGGAGUGGAAGAAUGGGAGGGGUAUACCCUUGAAGGAAGAAAGGGUUUUGGAGUGGGGUUGUGGAAGGANNNNNNNNNNNNNNNNNNNNNNNNNNNNNNNNNNNNNNNNNNNNNNNNNNNNNNNNNNNNNNNNNNNNNNNNNNNNNNNNNNNNNNNNNNNNNNNNNNNNUUGUUGAGCAACAACAUUGUGUUUUCCGUGGGUAAUGGUAGAAGAGUAAGAUUUUGGAAGGAUUCUUGGUGUGGUGAUGAGGCUUUAUGCUACACUUUCCCCUCUUUGUUUGCUUUGGCGGUUUCAAAAGAGGAGUGGGUGGCGGAGGUUUGGGACCCAUCGGUUGAGGGGGGGAUUUGGAGUCCUCAUUUUUCUAGGGCUUUCAAUGAUUGGGAGGUAGUCUUGGUGGAACAGUUGCUCAUGACAAUUCAAGGGAAGAGGGUUACCGCAGAAUUGGAGGAUAAGGUGGUUUGGAAAAAGACAAAAAAUGGGAUUUUCACUAUUAAGUCUCUUUAUAGUGCAGUAGAGCCAGGAAAUACAGUCCGGUUUCCAAGGAACAUCAUUUGGUGUCCUUAUGUUCCUCCCAAAAUGGGUUUUUUUGCUUGGGAAGCCUCGUGGGGGAAAGUUUUAACAUUGGAUCAGCUUAAGAGGAGGGGUAGGACCCUAGCUAAUAGACGUUUCUUUUAUCUAGCCGACAAGGAGUCUACUAAUCACAUCUUAAUCCACUGCACGAAGACUAGGGUUUUGUGGGAGUUAUUAUUUGCUCUCUUUGGGGUGACUUGGGUUCUCCCUUGCUCGGUAAGGGAGACUCUCCUUGGAUGGUAUGGGUCCUUUGUUGGUAAAAAGCACAGAAAAGCUUGGAAGCUAGCUCCUUUAUGCCUUUUUUGGGCAGUGUGAAAGAAAAGAAAUAGGAUAGCAUUCGACAAUGAAGAGUUUUUGGUUCAUAGGUUGAAGUAUUCUUUUGUGUGUAGUUUUUGGUCUUAGACAAAGUUGUAUAUAAAUGUUGGACCUUUACCUUUAAUCGACUUUUUUGAUUGGUUGGAUUCUAAGUGAGGGCGGAUGAGGUUUUUUGUAUCCCCUCCUUUUUUGUUUUUCUUUGCUUAUGGCACCUACUGUAUACUUCCUGUAUGCCUUGGAUUGUCCUCCAAGCUCCCUUUUUCUAAUUUAUAUAUUCUCUAUGUUUACCUAUCAAAAAAAAAAAAUGAUAGUUGAUUUUUGCAUUUUUUUUUGUGUCAAGUGGGUGAUGCCCUCUUUAGUUAGAGAGGUCCUUAUGAGCUGGCACAGGUCUUUUGUUGGUAAAAAGAGAAAAAAAAAGCUCGGAAGGUUACUCCGUUGCGUUUAUUUUGGACCUUAUGGAAAGAAAGAAAUAAGAGAGCUUUUGAUAAUUGAGAAAGCUCGGACCCAAUAAUUAAAAAUUAUUUCCUAUACCUUUUGGGAUUGGAUCAGAUUGUAUAUUGGGGAUGGUUCUUUGUUGUUGAUAGAUAUUGUGGAUUGGCUAGGCUCUCCAUAAGGCACGGUUGCUGAUUUUUGUGUCUUCGCGCCUCUUUUUUAGUCUUUGGUUUUCUUUGAAUACGUUGUGUAUACCUCUUUUUUAUAAACACACUCAUCAUUUACCUAUCAAAAAAAAAAAAAAAAAUCAGCAUGAAAUUAUUGCUCAAAACUCCAUCUUUAAACUUUUUCCUGAUCUAUUGAGCAUUCCCAAGUUUAUCAACUCUUAAAGCAUAUUUCAUUGAAUUCACCACCAGAAAAAAUUCAAACUUUGGGGUUUAUGCUGCCUCUCAAGCUUGAUUGUGGCAUUAAGUCUCAAAUUUAAAAAACCAUCAUCACAUAAGAAUCACACCUCGAAUUUAGGGUAGGCUUUAUACCAUAUCCUUUAGCCCAUUUGUAGCCAAAAAAACACCCUCAAUAACUUGAUUGGGCCUUAUCACACAACUACUUGAGAUUGACCAUCCAUGUCAGUGCUUCUCCUUCAAAUUGAUCACGAUUCAAAUAGUUUAUUUUGAUCAUAGGACAAUUUUCCUCCUGGAAAGACAGCUUCCAUUAUGUUUAAUCACCUAUUUUCCAUGUAGCACCAUCAGCUACAGCCCACCUCUCCUUACUGUUUGGUCUCUUUCUAAUAACUUUCCAUUCCAUGAUGUUGUCUAAUCUCCUUGGAACACCAUCAUCCUUUCCCCAAACUUUGUCACAGUGGUUUUUCUCCCCAAACAAUCCCUCUUUCCAGAAAAUUUUCACAGCCAUUUUCCUAGUAAAGCUUUACUGAGCACCAAUAACAUCCUGACACCUAAACCACCCUUGCUUGUUUGAGCUACAGUAGUUUUAUAAGUGUUUCUUGACUUUGCAAUGUUCUAUUCCAUGAAGCACAACUAGCCUUGCAAUCGUCUAAAAACGCUUCUUCCUAAUGAUGACCUUAAUUGCACAAUAACCUGAAACAUCCUUCAUACCCAAUGCCUAAGAAACAUCUUCUUCAGUAUCCCUCCCUUGGGAGGGAUUGAAAAAAUGUAUAUGGAUGUUCUCCUAGCAGAAAAUAAACCAAGUUUAAAUGGUCAUUUUUGAGCAUCUUCAAUCCCUAAGCAUUUUUUUUUUUCAUUUCCUUAGCUCUCUCCCGCACCAAACCUACCAAAAAUCAACUAAACCGUAAGUUUUAGGUAAAGUGCAAUUUUUUGUAUUCUCGAACCCUAGAUGGUGAAAAAUCUACCAAUUUCUUAUUCUUUUCUCAGCAUGCAAACAAUUAUAUCUAACGCAGAAUUCGAUUGAUUGAAUUGGAAAUAGAGAUUCAAACAGUACCUUGAACUCAGAGAUCGACCGAGUCGCAGCGUUUCAAGAAUGGGUGAUUGAAUGCUUUUUUGUAAAUAGAGGUUGAAUGCUCUUCUGUAAACAAUGAUCGGGCUACCUUGAACUCGGAGAUCGACCAAAACACAGCGUUUGUAGAGCAAUGAUUGAAUGCUUUUGUGUAGGCUGAGAGUCUGUGAUCAAGGUAUUUUGAACUCAGAGAUGGCCGAAACCAGCGUUUGGGUUGCUUUUGUGGAAACGGACGUGAGUUUCGUCGGGUAGUAAUGGGCUGAGGCGGGCACAACCCGGCCCAUUUCUUGAAUUAUUGAAUUAUUGAGGUGUAGCUGGGCUGAUUUCCAAUACAAAUCAUAAAUUUCUUUAUUCAGGUUUGGUUUGGAUGAAAUGCAAUUCACGAGUAGCCCACUAAAUGGUGAUUCAACGUAAAUUUUACAUCUUGGAACCAAACCAAUUUUGGAGUAGCUUUGUGAUGAUGGAACCAACCAGAAAAAAGCGUUAUGAUUGCAAAGAUCAAUGUGCCUAGCACAAUAAAGUCGUAGUUCACUGAUUAUUCUCACUGCAUCUAAAAAAAAUCAAAUAUUAUUUGCAUUCCUCGAAAAACCUCAUUUGUGUCACCAUUCAAUAUUUCUUAGCCCACUAUUGACCAAACCAAGGAUGAAAGUUUCCAUUUUUUUCGCCGAAAUUUCCGGUUUCGGUGGUCGGCGAUACGAAAGAGGGGGGCGAAAUAUCGAUGGGAGAAAUUUCGCCAAAUUUCGGUUAAAAUCGGCGAAAAAUUUGCCGAAAAAUGGAUGCAGACGAAAAAUCGGCGAAAUCUUCAAAAAAAUAGCCGGACACUGCAAUUUAUCGGCGAAUUUUCGGUUUGUAUAGCCGAUUUUUUUUCCGAUUUUUCUGAAAAUUUCCCGAUAUUUCCUACCAGUCCAGCCCGCGCACAGGUGACAAAAUCUGAUCAUGAUUUGCAGGCAAAGGUUGUGUUUUUUAGCCUGGCUCAAAAAUCGUGGAUUUAGGGUUCGUGAAAUUUAAAUCCAAUGGCACAAAAGCAAAGCGACCCCUAGAACAGAUCCAGAAAACACAGGAAGCAAAAAAAAAAAAGCAAUCUUUCUGGUUUUCCUGGGGGGUUUUGCAUGGAUUUUCUCGGAAAUCAAACGAGGAUGAAUUUUCCCAGAAAUCGAAUGGGGGAUGGAUUUUCAUGGGAAUCAAACGGGGUUGCAGAAAAAUGAAAAUAAAUAACAAGAUUAGAUUAGUACCUGGGAGGAUUGAGAGUGGCAGAGGAAAAUAGGGCCUUUUUAGGGAUUCUCUCGUCUGGAGGGCAACUUCAGAAAAGGGCUUCGGGCUUCUUGAUGCCCGAGUGAGAGAAGUGGGUGGCCUUUUUAUUUUUAGAUUUAGUAGAGAUUAAAAAAAAAAAAGGAAACAUAUCAUGAUAACAAUUUUCCUCUCUCUAUAUAAAUAAUUAUUAAUUAUUUAUGAUUAAAUCACUACUAUGGAUUAAAAUUAAUUUAAUAAGAUAAAUUAUUAAUAAUUUUAAUUAUUUAAAUAAAUUAAUGUUAAUAAAAAAAAGUUGUUACCACAUAUUUUUAAUAAAAUUUUAAAAAUUAGAUCUUAAAUAAAAUACUUUAUUGAUAUUUCAAUUUGGACCCCAGUGUAUCGGAUGGUCCAAAUUGAAACUGGAUGUGAUCCAAUAGUCAAAAUUGAACCUCAAGCUAUGUGAUAAUAUGUAUAAAUUAUUGAUAUUUACUAAAAUAAGUUUUUCAUGAAACUUCAUAAUGAGUGUAUAAGUACAACUAAUAUAAUAUAAUUAUGCUUAAUAUCACAAAUCAUAUUAUAUAUAUAUAUCAAAUUCUUCACCAAAACAACUUUAAAUUAUUUAUUAUACUUUUAAUUACAUUAACACGAGGUUUUUUUACAUUUCCAUAAGUUUUGAUCAAUUUUUUACUUAUCAAAAUUUUUUUUCAAAAUAUCCGUCGCUAUUUCUUCGAUAUAUCCGUAAAAUCAAGUUACCGAUAUAUCCGUGAUUACCGAUAUUUUCAUCAUUGGACCAAACUACCACUAGAUCCAAUGUGAGUAGGAUCACUUAGCCAUGCUUCAUGAUUGAAAAAACGAGCACCGUGAAAAUACAUGUCACUUAACCAAAGAAUGAUGAUGGAAAGUUGCCCGAAAUGGACACUAGAUACUUUUAAAUUCAAUCCAGUCUUAUUUUAACAUCAAGAUUUUCAAUCCAUAUUCAAUUUCAUCAGGUAGGCUUCACAAAUUUAAUAAAUAAUUUAAGUUUUAAAAUUUAUCUAAUUUAUAUUCAUUAAUAUGUUAAUUUUAUAAUUAAUUAAUAUAACUCUAAAUCACUUGAACUGAUAUUAUAUUAAAUUUAUAUCCUUCAAUUUGCAGGACCAAAACCUUCAUCUCAAUGACUUUAUAUCCUCUUCCUCUUCAUGUGAUUCUUGCGGUUCAAGUCCUCCAAAUUUUGAAUUUUCAACGUUGUAAUGAAUUUAUUUGGAAUAUAGCAGGAAAAGAAGGGAUCAAACAAGAAGAAAGUGAUGGAAAAACCUCAAAGGCCUCCACAUGCUAUUCUCAAUUUGUGCUUCACUUAGAUCACAUCGCCACUUAUUCAUUGUUUUGACAAACUGCCCUUGCAAAAUGCUGGCGGUGGGAAGCAGAUUUAAUACUUCACAUAAUUGAUAUUGAAAAUGCUUACAUGGUUUGAAUUUUUACAGGAAUAUAAGGGGAACUCUUUCAGAAAGUGGAAUGUCUUGCCUGUUACUUAACACCAACACAAGCACUCGUUCAAUCUCUGGCUUUGGCAUGCACCAUAUCUUCUUCUUUGUACUUCAGUAAUUUUCUAUUUUUUUGGUGGGGUAUCUGCUAACUUCCAAUUGUACUCAAAUAAAAAGCUGAGAUCUCUAUUGCCAUUCACUUCAUCAAGAGGCACAGCAUCACAAAUUUCUUUCAGAUCAUCCUCAGUAAGCUUCACUCCCAAGGAUCCAAUGUUAUUGUCAAGGUUCUUAACUUUGGUUGUCCCUGCAAGCACAACAUCAAAAUGCCACAUUAUAGUAUGUUGUAAAAAUAGGACAUUGCCAUAACCACUCUCAACUGCAAAACAUAAUGAAGUAGAACUCAGCAUUUGAGUUUGUGGCCGGGCAAUGGAAAGAAGAGAAGUCAUUUUGAAAAGAAAUAAAAGCUACUGGGUAAACAAACAGACAAGAAAAUUGAAGGGAAGGAAGAGCGUAAUUUACCAGGGAUCGGAACCACGUCAUCUCCCUGAUGGAAAAGCCAUGCCAGAGCAAGUUGAGGAAGAGUGCAGCCAUGUUUUGCAGCCAGUUUCUCAAGGCGGGCAUAUAUAAGUUUGUUCUUCUCUAAAUUCUCUCCAGUGAACCUUGGAUGCAUAGUCUGUGGCAGGAAUGUCAGUAUGAAUUUAAAUAACUGAUUCCAAUGCUAAAAAAAUGAUCGAUGUUCUUUGCCCAUCAAAAGAAGUAAAAAAAACUCAGACGGAGAAGAACCUAUAUUCAAAUUACUAAAUUUUUAUCUAUAGUUACUGACCAGGAUACUCUGAGUGGGCAAGCUCUCCACAACUGCCUUCCCACCAAAGAAUCCACGACCAAGAGGGCUAUAUGCUACUAUUCCAAUACCAAGCUCUCUGUGAGUAACAGAUAAGAAGAGAUUCAGAGUUCAUGAUUUAAAUUCUGUAAUAUUCUCAAUCCCUCAGCUUUUUCAGGCUGUUCUUCACCCUGUAUAAAAAACUUAAAGGUUUGGUUUAGUAAUGCAAACAUUAAAGCUAGAUAACCAACCGGCAGAGUGGAAUUAUAUCUUCUUCAAUUUCACGGGCCCAGAAAGAAUACUCCAUUUGUAAGGCAGUGAUGGGAUGAACUGCAUGGGCUCUCCUUAUUGUGUCUACACUAGCUUCAGAUAAACCGAUGUAUUUUAUCUUUCCCUCCUCCACCAACUUCUUAAGCUCCUCCAUCUAAAUCAAACAAAAUUAAUCAUCCAUCAAAUUUUGAUGCAGUUUCAUACAUUAGAAACUAGAUGAAACCGAAAAUACGAAGAAAAAGAAUAUUUGAUACUCACUGUAUCCUCUAUUGGGACUGACAUGUCCACACGAUGCUGAUAGUAAAGGUCAAUGUAGUCCACACCAAGCCUCUUUAGACUGGCUUCACAGCAGUCCCGAACAUAUUCAGGGGUACCCUUUAUCACAACCUUACCGACCUCUAACACCUGAAGGCCAAAUUUUGUAGCUAAUUGAAUUUCUUCCCGAGGGAGCUCCUUCAGAGCCUGAAAAUAUAAGGAAAAAGACUACCCAUCAACUUAAGAACAUGAUUCAAUCCCAUGGAUGAUUCGGCAACAGAUUCAUACUUCAAUAUAAAAUUUUGGUUUGCCUGUGUGUGACUUUCUUUUCUUUCUUUCCUCCCAUGAAACUUCCCAUUGAAAAAAAGUGAAGCACCAUGUGAAGGGAGAAAUUGGCCUUUCUAAAUGGUUCUUUUAUAUUCCUGAUUUACUCAGAUUUGAGCUUGAAAGUAAAAAACAGUACCUUUCCAACCAUGAUCUCAUUGUCAUGAUUUGCUCCAUAAAUAUCUGAUGUAUCAAAGAGGGUGACACCCUUAUAAAAAGCUUCCUUUAUAACUGAACAUCCAGCUUCAUGGGAGAGGGGUGAAUUAUAGAUCCCAGAAAGUCCUGCACAUCCAAAGCCCAAUCUAGAAACCUACAGAAGAAAAAAAGAGCAAAUUAUUAGAAUGAAAAUGAAUCUUUUCAUUUUUUCACAAAAAUUGCAAACAGAUAUUUGAUGAAAGCAGCAAACCCAGAUAUGAUUCAUUAAUCCAUAGAUCUGAACUGAUAGAGGAGGAUAUACAACAAUAAUCAAGCCAUACCCACAAUCAUGUUAGCUGAACAAAAUUAAAGAAGUCCCAAAAUAAAAAAAUAAAAAAAUGGGCAUGGUACAAAUGGGUGUGAGAAGAACAAACUCACCUCCAAUCCCUGACUGCCCAAUUUGACUCUUGGGAUUUUGAUCUGAGGCAUGUCCUCCAUUUUGGAUUCUCAGGAAGCCAAAGAAACAAGAUGCUGCAAAAAACAGGGAAAUGCUGUAGGUGCCCACCCACCUGCAACAUCUCAAGUUAAAAGGGGUACAAGUGCCGACCCGCAAAGGCAAUUGCUGGUGGCAGAAAGUUGAAACGAAUAUUCUGACGGCGACUAUUGUCACUUUCUUCCUGGAUGUAUAUGUGUUGGUGUAGACCCUCAUUUUGGGGUGUGUUUUGUGCAGAUCAUUUUGCCAGGUGGAAGGCUCUUGGAAGACCACAUGUCCACUCAUGGUUGGCUGUUGGGGAAUCAUGUUAGUGGAUUGAAGGGAAAAUGGGUGGAGGACACGUGUCAUGGGAAUAUUCAGAAACAGUUUUUUGGGUGGUGGGGGAGCAUAUUCGGUUAGACAGAGAUGAGAUAUUUUGUUGUUGGUUAGAGGAUGAGGGCAGGGAGGAAGCUUGAGGAGCAAGAAAGUUUUUGUUACAGAGAGGAGAGUUUUUGGGGUAUCUUGAGGGGCAAGGUUGUUGGAGAGAGAUAACCAGAGAAAGGGAGAGUUGCAGAGAGUUGGAAGGGGGGAGAAGGAGUGACAAUGGAGAGAGCUGAGUCCUUUGAGUGAGAACUGCUAGUUUCCAGAGCUAAGAGGGACAUUCAUCUAUGGUGGCCGUUUUUGGAAGGUUGCAAAGAAGAGGAAAAACCAGAGGGCAGCUCGCGGAUUUUCCGGGGAGCUUUUGGAGCAAGAACAGUUAGAAAUCCAUCACAUUUUGCUGGAGAGAAGCAUUUUCAGGUAUGUUUAUAUUGGAUUCCCCAUUCGUUUCAACUGGUAUGCUUUUCUUCUCUUUUUUUGUUGAUCCUUGGAUGAUGUUUGUUGAUUGGGAGUAAGCAUGUUCAUAUCUUCUUUUUUUUAAUGGUUUUAGCUGAAGAUUAGUUUGCCCCUGUUUCAGUUUCCCUAUGAGAUAUUUGUAACCAUGUUUUGAUUUUUAUUUGAUACUCGUUUGAUUUCACCCACUCUCGUCUAAGCCUGUUGAUUAAAAUAUGAAGCAUGGCUUGUACGGGUUCAUUUUUGUUCCUACCCUUUGUGCUCUGUCUUGUUAUCUUCCUUUGUUCUUGGUGUUCAUCCAUGGUGUGCAUUGGAUUUCUCACAUUUGCCUGAGGGAGCAAGGAGCUGCAGAUGACGUAUUCUCAGUACGCGGGUAGGAGAGGUUACAGCAUGCUGGUUCAGUUGUGGGGAAUGCUGAAAAUGGCUCAUGGAUGUUAAGGCUGCAUCGAUGUCAAUGCUGAAUCCAUGGUGGAGAUGAAAGCUACAGGAUCCAAGGGGAAACCUAUCAGCAUAAUGUAUUCUAUCAAGCAAGCUAUUCUUCUCUUCGUCUAUGCCAGAUUUGCCGUCAACUCUGAUCAUUGCUUCGUCUUUGCUACUCUGGGCAAAACCACUUCCUGGCUUCAGAGAGAGUUUAGCAAUGAAUUUGAUUCUGCAAUUGCUACACUUCGGGGCCUGUCAAUUGAUGGCUCUGGUGGUAAUGCAGAUCUGACCCAGUUAUUCAGGGUAGCAGCUCGUGAAGCAAAGGAAUCUCGUGCAUGAAAUCAGAUUUUCAGGUUAAUAUUAAUCUACUACAGAUUUUUUGCUCAUCCUUAGCAUCAGUGGCCUGCUAACCCGAAACUCUUCACUUUGGACGUGGUUUAUCUCCAUGACAAGCCUAGUCCUGAGAAUUGCCCACAAAAGGUCUAUGAUGCGCUUAUGGACGCCCUUGAACAUGUUAGUGAGCAUGAGGGCCCCACCUAUGAGAGCAGGCAGGAGCUAACACGUGUCCUUUUCCAUUAUAUGUGUGUUCUGUUAUCACAUCCUCAGCAACGUUGUCAAUCAGACGGCGUUAACAUACCUAAGCCCCUCACAAAAGAAGCUGCCAUUUUCAUCACCCAGGUCGUCAUUAUGCAUCACCCAGGUUAGCCCCUCACAAACGAGUACUAUCUUGUUCUUGGCUGCAACUCCAUCCACCCACAACCUCAAUCCAUAAUACCCACAUUUCCAUUUUUCAAAUACCCAUUAGACCCGUUUCUCUCACCACCCUCCAUCAUUCAUUUCAUCAAUGAUAUCCACACCCUUCAUAUCACCACAUUCCCACCUUCAACCUCAUCCAUACUCACCUUCAUUAGCCUAACCCAUUCUUCAUACUCCAACACACUCAUCCUCGUUCAAAUCCUCAAUCUUCCAAUACCCACCAAACCCAUUUCUCUCACCACCUCUUCCACUCAUUCCAUCAUUCGCUCCCCAUAAACUUCUUUCUCAUUCUCUUCUCUGUGCAUAUGACCCACGUGCAUGACCAUUUCGACGCAUGCAUGGCCUCUUUGGAUACCUCAUUUUCCAAGCCUACAAAUGCAUGAGAAUUUUCGUCAAUGGAGAGAAAUGUUUGUAUGUUAAGAAUGUGUCGAAAACUGUUAUUUGUGUGGAAUGGAGGUUCUAUCUUGCAAAUAACUUCAGGGUCACCCUCGACAGUCUUACUUUUAUGAUCUAUCAAGGCUUGAAUGUGGUAUUCUUCAACUAAGGACUGGAAAUUGUCAUGUCCGACAUGCGUUGUCUGGAAGGUGAUUGAUUCUGGGCAACGAUUGCUCUCAUUUCUCACCUUACUAUCCAGAACCUCCUGCUGGUUGCUUCUUAAGAACGUGAUUGUAGGGUAUGUGCAGAAUGAGAAGUACAGUGAUGCUAUUGGGGUGUUCCGGAGGAUGCCACAAAUCGGUGGUGUGGUGUCAAAUCACAUUACCCUUGUUAGUGUGUUGCCGGUUUGAGCGUAUCUUGGUUCACUUGAUCUGGGGCAGUGAAUUGAAAGAUUUGUCAAUCGAAGAGGGAUGGCCUUAGGUUCAUCAUUGGGGGAAUGCACUUGCAUGACGUGUAAACGAAGUCCGGAUGUAUAAUGGAGGUUAGAAGGGCAUUCGAUAUGAUGCAAGAGAUAAAUGAGAUCUCAUGGAGUAUGAUCAUAUGUGGGUUGGCCAUGUACGGACAUGCAGAUAAAACAUUUGGGAUGCUUUUAUGAAAUGCCCAACUGUGGAAUAAAUCCAAAUGAUGUUGUUUUCAUGGGAUUAUUGACAGAAUGCCAACUCGGGUAGUGAUGGGGAUAGCAGUUGUAGCUCCAGGAGACGUGCAACAAUGACAAGAUCAAAGCAAUUGGAGGAGCAUGGUGAAUUCAAGAAGCUGGAAAAGUCACCGAGUAUGGAUGACACUUGAAACCACCUAGAAGUUGUUGAAUAUGUUGCAGAAAUCUACCAGUACUGUUGGGUUACAAAGUUGCAGGCAUAGAAUCCAUCCAUGCAAAAUUAUAUGUCAAUUCAGUCAGACAUCAUACCUCAGAUACGGGGCAUAUUGAUCAAUUGGCUAAUUGAACACCAUUGCAGUCAUCGAGUACAGGCUAGAAGCAACCUUGCUUCAGGUGUAAGUGGCAAAAAUGAGAUCCAAAACAACACUUCUCAAAUGGGCAUCAGAGCCUUCAAUGGUGGGCUUUUAAAGGCAGCUGGGUGGGUUUUGGAUGUAGAAUGUGAUGUUUUGAAAAAAUUGGUGGAAAAGUAUCCAAAUUACACUUUCUUUUACUGGUCAUCCUCUUGGAUCAGGGGUGAUUGCACUAUUGACAAUGGUGGUGGUGCAUAGUGGGGAUAAAUUGGCAAAUUUUGACUGGAAGAGGAUCAGGUGCUAUGCAACUGUACCUACAAAGUGCAUGUCGUUAAAUUUGGCAGUGAGUUAUGCAGAUCUCAUCAAUUCUGUUGUGUUUCAGGACGACUUUCUUCCCUUGGCCACCCCUGCACGCUUCCAGUUGCAUGCCCACCUUUGGCAUGCAACCUUUGGCCACGUGACUUUUCUUUCAUUUCUUCAUUUUUUAUUUUAAAAAAACAAUUUCUCAGACUUCAUUUUGCAAAAUAAUUGCCCCAAUUCUAGUUUUUCAAAUAAUUUUAAUUCUUCAAAUUUUCAUCCUUAGAAUUUUUUUAAGCUUACCAAAAAUCCCAUUUUCCAAUAAAAUGUGCUACAAUUUUCUUCGGCAAGCAAUUUUCACAUUUUUUUAUUUUUAAAAUGUUUUAAAAUAAGCAUGAAUUUAAUUUUGUAAUUCCAAGUGAUGAAAUUUACGGAAUUAAUUCAUGCAAAAAUAAAUUGGAUUUUGGUGGGGGCCAACAUCAAAGAAGUUUUAUUUAACAAUAAAUUUGAGUGAAGUGCAGUGUGAUAGUUGAUGACUUCUUACUCUAUUUAGUGGCAUGUGUGACAUACUUUGUCUUCAUUAUUACGCACUGACCUCAUUUCAUGAAAGCGCAUUAGUGUUUGCUACUAAGGUACGCAUACACUUUCACUUUGACCAUUCUCUAUGUAUUGUUGUGACUCUCAUGUGUGUAAUAUCAUUUUGGUAUCUCUUGAUCUACUAAUCAAUUGUCAUGUUCGCUUCAUCUCAUUAGUAGAACCCCGUUUUUAGGGACGUAGAGGAGUGCUACGAUCUUUACCGUACCUUCCCAAUAAGUAACCUAACCCUCAAGCCUAUAUUUAGUUUUUCACUAACCGUCAUUUUCCAAAUAAGGAGUCACACUUAUGGUUUUCUUUCUUAUUUUGUUUACUCUUAAAAAAUAAAACAAAAAUAAGUGGCGAUUCCAAGUCAUUUUCUAAAAAAUAAAUCAUUUUCAAAUAAAAAGCGAAUUCGUCAUCGAGUAGAAACACAUGAGCAAAAAUGUGAGGUCCACAGUUGGACAUGCCACUCAAAGCAUUUUGGGAAUCUAUAAUACAUGUUAUAAUACAAUCUCUAGUACAAGUUGUAAUUUUUUUAACAACAAUUUUUAAAAACAGUUUAUAAUGCUUUCAGAGACAAAAAUGCUUUUGAAAACUGAAUUCUAAGACACAAUUUUUUGUUCUAAAAAAAAGAGUUAAUAAAAGCUAUUUUAUAGGAAAAGUAAAAUAAGAAAAAAAGACUUAUUUAAGAACUAUGUUUUAAAAUUGAUUGUUUUCUUUCAUUAACUUGAUGUUAUAAAUAUAAAUAAUUUUUAGAUUUAUACUUCAAUGAGUUAAAAGAAAAAUGUAUCCAUUUUUAAAAUUACUUGCAUAAAUUUUCAUUUUUGUAUACAAUUUUUAUAAUAUAUUUACACUUUAAUGAUUUAAUCAUUAGUUAGCCUAAAAUGCAAAUUACCUCAUCUUAGAAAAAAAAAUUGUAUCCAUUUUUUAAAUCACUUGUACAAUUUUUCUUUUUAUAUGCAAUUUUUUUUUAUAUAUUUUCGGUUGAUCAUUGGUUAGCCUAAAAUGUAAACCAACUCAACUCAACUCAUAAAUUUCCUCAACUCCACAACACUGCAUUCAAUGAGAAAAUCAUUCUUUUAUUACUUCAUUUAUUCAAACCAACUUGAAAAUGAAUCUCACUUAUGGAUAACACCAAGAGGGGGGUGAAUAUGUGUUUUUAAAAACAAUUGGAUAUGGUCUCUCACAAAUGCUCAUAAUUCCCUUGUUUUUCCCUUAUAAAAUGAUUUUUUUUUUCAACCUUAUGAAUAAACAAGUAAAUCGCAAGCAACAAUGAAUGCACCAACACUCUCCUAAACAAGUUAUUCAAUGCAAGUCACAUGCAAAUGAGACAACACUCCCCAAACUCGAUAUAUAAAACAUUGCAUCAAUAUAAAAACUCUUUUUCACAUACCCUUUGUCAUCAAUCAGCAACAACUAACAUAUAUCUUAUUCUUUCAAAGAUUCAAUAGACACAUUUCAGCUCAUACUCCAAUUAAUUCAAUCAUUAUAACACAAUGAAAAAUACCAUAAGCUCAUGAAAUGCUAAUCAAAAGAUAAAAUAGAAAGAAGAGACAAUGACACCAAUUUUUUUAACGUGAAAAACCUUUAAAGAAAUAAAAAAAAAAAACCACGGAUAUCAAGCAAUCAAAUAAUCUACUAUGAAGAAGAAUUAGAUGAGUACAAGGUUUUACCUAACUUAAGUCUUUCAUCAUCUCUUGGACCACUUGCCUAUAAUAUUCAAGCUUCAGCUACCAUCAUUCUUCUUUAGGAAAACACUUGGAAUCCACUCAGUUUUGAUCUCAACAUCUUCUUAAGUCCACAUAAGAAGAAUCUCGGGUUUUACCCCCAAUAAGUUGAAUAUGAGAGUUAGGAUGAAGAACACAGUGAAUCAACCAAUUUGGAAUAAAGAUUUUUCACUCAAAAACUAAUUUUCAAUUCAAUCUCAUAAAUUUUCUCACUAGGCAAACACUCCCCAAUAUAGUAAGAAAAACUUGAAGCUCAAAAACCUAGGGUUUUCUCUCUCAUAGCAGCCCACACCACAUCUAGAAAGAGGGCUUAGUAUUAGGGUUUUGAAACUCAUCCAAUGGUUGAGAUUUAUUUGAAAAAUCAUAAACUAUUAACAUUUAGUUCAAUUGAUCAAAAAUCGAUCCAAAUGUUUUAAACAUAAUGUUUUACACUUUUAAUUAAGUUUCAAUUUCAUUUUCUAAUAAAAUGAUACAAAUUUAAAAUAUGAUUAGUCAUUGUUUAUUAUCAUCCAUCAUCUCAAAUGUACUUACCAAUUCCUCCAGUCAUCUUCAAACACAAAACAAUUUGGAAAAGGUAUGUGGUCAAAAGAGGAUUUGAAGAAUAUGAACUACAAGACACAAUAAGAAUUUUGACCCGAAAUUGUCAAUACAUACAACAUGCUUACACAACUCGGUGUAGAAAAUUUUGAUGGAGUGUUUGCAAUGAUCUUAAAUAAUGUCUUCAAAUAUACACAAAAGGUAUAUGAAAGAAGUUUUCUUCAAACAAAUCUCUACACAUCAUCGACCUUAUCAUCCAAAACACCCAAUACAAAGUUCAAGGUACCCAUUUCUUCACCCUUUUUAGUUAUUCUCAUUAGGUCUUGUUCCCCUUCCUAUCUCCAAUUGACAUUGUAAUUGCAUUUUGUUUUCUUAUGAAUUUUUUUCUUCUUCUAUCUAAAUUGUCUAUCAUACACUAAGGGGGCUACAAAUUGCAAGCAAAAGGCUCCAAAUUUGCUUUUUCUCUAUUGUCAAAUCUAGCAAAUUGAUUUGAUUUUAAAAGGUCCCUGCCCAACAUAUUUUCAAAUCUAGCAAUAUCAAACUGAGAAGGAAAAGCAUGAAAACACAAAGAACACCCUUUUAAAAACAUAGAGAACAACCCAUUUUUUUCCCUAGUGAAAACAUGAAAAAUACAAAGAACUGGAACAACAUUCCUUGUCAAACAUAUUUUUAGUGUUCUUUUUUCUAGAAAACAAAAACCAAUUCACAAAAACGCUUCUCAAGUGGGCCAUGAUCUCUUUUUAAUUAAAAAAGAAAAGAAACUUACAAGAAUUUGCAAAAUAAUAAUAAUAAUAAUAAAGAAAUAAUCCUAAACGCCCCAUUUCGCUUCCUUAUGUUUCUCAAGAUCAAUCCUUGCUAUUUCACUUCUUUCAUCUUGUGAGUUGGUUCAAUUUGUAAAAAUGGACCAAUAAGAUUUUUUGUCGAAGAGUAACAAAUCUAAGAACUACAAAAUGAAAAACGGAAAGCAGAGCAUCAAAACACACCAUAGGAGAGCAAAUCAAAGCAUUGAUUUCUUGUUUGAGGUCUUAAAAUGUUUUGAAAUUUUUAUAAAUUUCCAUGUUUUUGAAUUGAUAAUGUGUAUAAUACUUAAUAAUAAUAUUUUGCAUUAUAGUGAACCAUGAAUAUGAAGAAAAAUUUCCUUUGAUUGUUUGUGUUAGUGUUUUACCAAGGUUAAAUUUCCAUUUGAGUUAUUGAAUGGAUGUUUGAUAAAACAAUUUAAUAACUUAAAGUGAUUUAAUAACUUAAUUUAAAUUAUUAAAUAAAUUAAGUGUAUUUGGUAAAAUUAUUUAAUGGUAUGACUUAAAAUAAAAAAUAAUUUUAAGUAAUAAGUAAAAAAAAUAAACUUAUUUUUAAGUUCAUCUUCAUUUUACAUUUUUACUCUUUCACCUUUUUUUUGUGUUAGGUAACUUCACAACCUCUUUUACUACUCUAUGACUUCUAUUAUUAUUCGAUAUUUUUUACUCUAAUUAUAAUUUAUGAGAAUAAAUAUAUCAAUUUAAUAAUUUAAAAUAAAUUUUAAAUUAAUUUUAUUGAACACUCUUAAUAUUAAAGUAAGAAUUAAGUAAUAAGUUUUAAGAAUUAAUUUAAAUAUAAUUAAACUUAAAAUCAACUUAAGUUAUUAAGUGAUAAGUAUUAAGUUUUAUCAUAUACCCACUAAAAGUUUUUAGAUUUAGGAAUUUAAACGUUGUUAAGUUACCAUUUUUAUUUUUAUUUUUUUUAUAUUGUACUUGUGAUAUGUGUAUAUAGUUAUGACAAUAAAGGCAAGGUGGUCAACUCAAAUCAUGAUAUGAUUAAUCAUGUAUAAUGGGAGUUUUAAAAUAAAAAUAUUGAAACUAAUACCAUAUCUUAUACUGAUUUUAGAAAGUGAUUUUAGUUUUUCUAACACAAAAACUUUUAUCUUUCAAGUACUAUAAAUACUAUAAACAUUUCUUAAAAUUAUUAUCAAAUACACUCUAAAAUAGUAUUUGAUAAACUUAAUAUUUAUUAUUUAAUAACUUAAGUUGACUUUAAGUCAAAUUAUACUUAAAUUGUUAACUUAAAACUUGUUAUUUAAUUAUCAAUUUAAGUAUUAAGGUUAUUUGAUAAACUAACUUAAAACUUAUUUUAAAUUAUCAAAUUGAUUUAUCCUCAUAAAUUAUAACUAUGGUAAAAAAGGUCGACAGUAAAAAUCGUCAAGUAGCAAAGGAGAUUAUGAAAGUUUUUAUGGCAAAUGGGGGUAGAAAGAUAAAAUGAAGAUAUGAAUAUCAUCAUCUAUACACAUGCAUUUGUGAUACUAUAUAAUUUUCUGCAUGAUCACUAAUUUUAUUUCUUAUAAUUUCAAGUAUGACAAUUAAGAAUAGAGGAUUUGUUGUAUUUUUCAUCAAAUUUGCAUGUUAUAAUAUAAGAUUAUUUAAUUCAAAAGAUGAAAUAAUCUUAAAUUUGUAAAAAUAAUCUCUCUCCUAUUUAAACUCGAAAAAUAAACUUUUUUAUGUAUAAAUUUCCUUCAACAUUUGAAUUAUAUUAAAUAAGUUUUGAAAGAGUGGGUUAUUUUCAUAAAAAUAUAUGAGGGGUAUUUUUGUUAAAAAAAAAAAGAAGAUAUUUUUCUUAGAGUAAAAUAUGUGGAAGGGUUAGAUUUGUAAAUUUUAAAAAAUUUCAUCAAAUUUCCAUAGGCCAUAGCAUAACAAGCUCAUUUAAUAUCUCAACUUUUAUUAUUGUUUUCAUAUAGUAGAACUAAACAUAGUUGGACUAUUUUUUUUUUUUUUUUGUAUACUAUUACACAAUUCAUAUGGAUUUGUAGUAAUUUUGUUACUACUUUUAAUUACCUUGUAGUAUGUGAUGCCACCUCCAUCAUUGUCUUUUAUCUUGCUAAAAUACUUUGGAGGAGUUGACAAAAUUUUAUAUUUCUGACACUUGGAAGACAUUGAGAAUAUUAAGAAUAAAUUGAUCAAGCUAUAAUUUGAGGUUUUUAAGACCUCACCUCAUAUUUUGAUUCCUUCUUGGUCAUGCAUAAACUUCAUUUUUCAACCCAAAUUGUCCAUUAGAGAGUUUUGAUCCCAUUCCAUGACAUGACAAAAAAUAAUAAUGAAUAAGGAUACAUUCCUUAAUAUUAAGAAUAAGGUGUGUGAAAAAUUGUUGUCUAGUAUAGUAACACCUAGAGAAGAGUGAACAGUGUAUUUUUAAAUAUUAUAAAUUAGAAGUUGAAUUAUUGACCCAAUUUAAACUUGUGAGAUAUAAGAGAUAAUUAAUAUAAUCAAAAUAACUAGAGAUCGAGUAAGAGACAUAGGAAUUUUAACAUGGAAAACCCCACACUAACCGUGAAAAUAAAAAACCACGGAAUCUAAGAUCUAAAAUCUAAAUCCAUUAUAUAAGAUCAAGUCACACAUAAUUAUCUAAUUAUUUUACUUUAAAGACUUACUCUUUAAAACCUAUAGCUUGAUUAACAUCCGCGACGCAACAAUCUUUAAUUACUCCAAUGAAUACUUCUCAACCUAGUUGAAGGGAUGCAUGUUUUUCAACAAUUCAAAAUUCAAACUUUAAAUCAUUUCACGAGAGUCUGAGAAUGGUAGGACAAAUUAGGCUAAACCUUUCUAUAAGUGUCCCCACCCUAAAAGGGUUAAAGAAGGGUUUGGCCUUUAGGCCUUAGGAGAUCGAUAUCCCAAAAUUUUCAAAUAAAGAUUUAUUGAAUUCCCAAAAGAUAUUCUAGCAAAUUUGGGAUGAUCGCUUAGGUGUACUUGUCCACCGCUUGAGUGCCUCAAGUGCUUGAGCACUAGAUAUGCACUUGAGCAUUUCCAAUGCUAAAGCACUACUUCCACCACUUGAGCAUUCUUUGUUUUUCCAAAAUAAUAAAUUAAGUAUUUUAAUUCAUAUAAAAGAUGUUGAUCCACUUUUAACCCCUUAAACACCUAACUUGUCAUUAAUAAAACCUUUUUAGGUAUAUUUGUAAUUAUCUAGUUGAACGAACAACAACUUUGAAUCUUUAAUGAAAAGUAAGUUACUAUCUAAAAAAUUUCAAAAGAAUUAGAACAAAAUUGUCAACAUGUAAUGAAGACCCAUUGUUUUAACAAUGUGUAAUGAUGUGUUGAAAAAAGUUUUCAUUUCUUUGGGUGAACAAGAAAAAAAAUUACAAGAAAAAUGAAUGAGCCUAGAGAUGAAAACAUGUUAACCCUAUUAUACUUUCUAGAACAUAUUUUACUUGGGAAAGAAGAAAAUUUUUUAAUAGAUAUUCAAUGAGCUGAUUUUGUUGAGAAUUUUUUAAGACCUUAACAAAUAUCCAUGGGGGAGCUUUGUUACAAGAUGACAAUUUUUAGAUUGCAAAAGACUAGAAAAUUCAAGUAUCAAAAUACCAAAAUAAUAAAGUACUAAAGGGAAAAGUCACAUCCAAAAAAAGACCACAUGAUUAAAAAUUUAAUCAGUUAUGGAAUUACUGUAAAUUAAAAAAAAAUUAUGAAGAUGUAAUCGUAUUUAAAAAAUUAUAAAUUUAAUCAUUAAUUUUAAAAAUAAUUUUAAUUUUAUUUAAAUUAUGUAUUUUUUUAGUAAUAAUUUUUUAAAAAAUGUAUUUUUGAAAUGGAAGUUUUCAAGGAAAAAUAAUACCAAAGGCCGCGUUAUGAAUGGAAGCACAUGACUAAAAUAAUUAAAUAAAUAAGCGACUAAAAAAAUCGUAGGUUUUCUAUAGGCUAUAUUCAUUCUUCUUCUCCUUGAUCCACCGAUCGAUUUUCAACCCAAAACCCUAAUUCAAGAUGGAGAGGAGGCACACGCACAGAUGUGCAACCGGCUUUAUUUUUAUAGCUCUCUUUUUCAGCUUUAUCCACCGUAUCUCAGCUCUCUCCGUCACCGUCAACGAAGUAGAAUGUGUUUAUGAGUACGUUAUCUACGAAGGUGACACCGUUUCUGGGAACUUUGUUGUCGUCGAUCACGACAUUUUCUGGGGCUCUGAUCACCCUGGCAUCGAUUUCACUGUAUGUCCCUGCCUAAUUCUCAUUUAAUUCAUCUAGUUCUUGGAUUUUUGUUUUUCUUUUCGGGGUUUUAAUCGUAGUGGUUAAUUGAUUUGGGGUUGCUAUGGGAUUUGAAGAGGUUUUUGGUUUUUUUUUUUUCCUGGAGUAUUUAGGGUUUUUGUUUGGUUGGAGAGAAAACUGAGGAAGAGAAAAAGGAAACGAAUUUUGGAUCUGAGAUUUUAUGCAGUUUGGCUUCUCAAAAAAAGGGAAAAAAUUCAAGUGCCCACAAACAUCAAAUAGAGAUGUGUUAGAUUUUGCUUGAUAAGACCUAGAUUUUUGGUUUCUCUUUCGGGUGUCCUCAAAGUUUCUCCACAAUCAAACAGUCGUUUUUCCCCUUUCCUUUAAUUUUAUUUUAAAAUAGAUUUUUUUUUUUGUUUCCUAUAAAAAUAAAUAUGUAUAGAGGUGUUAGGGUGCACCAACAACAGAAAAUAGAUGUGUUAGAGGUGCCUUAUGAUACGGAUGAUUGAGGGCUAGUUUGAGUUCUGGUCUUUCGGGUCUGAAACAGUGGAAAAUUGUAGACCCUGAUUUUUCUUUGUUUAAAUCUCCUCAGUUUUUCUCAGGUCUGAAUUUUUGAUAUGUUGUCACAUCAUUUCAUAUCAAUUAGAAAUUUAGAAUAAGAUUCCGAAGCCUUUUGGUGUAUCUGUUCUGGGUAAAAGAGACAUAAAUAGGUCAAUUAUAGAUUAACCUGGAAGAUUCUCUUGCAAUUCAGAAAAUUAAUAUCAAUAUACCAACUAGGCGUUAUGGUUCAAUGGUAAAAUGAUCAUAUAUCAAAUUCUGGACCAAGCCUUUUAUAUCAUGACCAGAAAAAGGUUCAAUACCGAGAUGAAAUAGUAUCAUAACUUUGUAUUAGAUCUGUUGAUCUCAAGCUUCAAUUGCGUCUUAUUCGAGAAUUAGUAUCCAAUUGUCCAACCUCAUCCUUGGGGUGAAAAGAUUGGUACCUGGGGAACUCCUUAAUUGAAGAAAAAUAAUAUCCAACUUGACAUUAGUAGGGCUGUUGAGAAAUUUCAAACCAGCAGGUUGAUUAGAGGUAGAGGUACCAGAAGCUUGUUGAGAAGACUGCAGUUAGUCCUUAAGGAAAACAAUAAACAAGUGAUCAUUCCUAGAUAAAAUUCAGAAACAAUCAAAUUCAACCCCAAAUAUUGUAGUGUUAGUUUAGCUCAAUCCUUUGUUUUCUGAAACAAGAAGCUGAUGCUUCCUUGUAGACUUAUCCAGUUGAAUUGUAAGCUGGACUGGUCCUGAUUGUAAGGUUGUUUGAAAAAUCUCUUCCUGUCUCAGAAAAGUGAACACAGGAAUUAUAUCCUCGGUCAUCCUUGCAAUAUUUAAUGUCUUUGAUUCAAGCUGGAUUAAUCAUCUUCUCGUUUGGUUGGAUUAAUCAUCUGCUCAUGUGGCCUAAAUGGAUGGCUUUGAUGAUGAUGAUGGCAGCUGCAAUUGUGAACAUUAAGGAGUAAAUAGUUUUGAUGUAGGACAACCUAGGAUGAUAGGAACAUUUUUUUUUGAUAAGUAGGAUAUAAGAAGAGGAACAUUGAACUAAAGUUAUUGUUGCAGGGGAAAAAAAUAAGAUAUAGAACAAGAAAAAAAUAAAGAAAAGAUAGGAAACUUUAGAGUCUUCCCAAUUCCUUCUAAGAGUUAGAAAUAAAGUCUUACUCUUGAAAAUUGGAAGGCACGAAAAAACUUAAUACUAUCCAUCGUCAAUAAUUAGUCUCAUUUUACAUCAGUUACCAUGAAAAAAGAAACCCAAUCUAUGUAGUCAUUUAGUAGGACUCUUAUUCCUUUCUUAAAACUAUUAAAUCUUCUAAAAAGAUUAAAAGAGCAUAGAAGCUUUUAUAUAUAUAUAUAUAUAUAUAUAUAUAUAUAUAUAUAUAUAUAUAUAUAUAUAUAUAUAAUUAGAAACCUAAUUUUAUAAAGACUUCUUUUAAUAAAAGUUUAUAAUAAAGAAGAGUUGCAGAUACUAAAAGGACUUACAUAGAAACUUUAGAGAAGAAAGAUUUUAGAAAAUAGACAAUUUAGAAAUUUAAAAACUUCUUUUGAGGAGAAAUUUUCAAUUAAAAAAAAAAACUUUCCAAAUUCUAAAUGCAACUCAAAUGCUGAUUACUAUCUAAUUAGUACAUUAGAGAACCUUUAAAAAACUACAAAAUUACCUACAUACCAUUGAUAGAGCUUGAAAAACUUGACCUCGAGUUUAAAUGACUUUUCAUGGUUAAUUGUAAUCCAAAGCAGUGUUUUCCACCUUUUUUUUCCUUUGUUACCCCCUAUAAACUUGUUUUUUGAUUGGCUAAGUGCUAGUUGAGGGCUGGUAUUGUAUUUCCUCUUCUUUUUGUGCCCUUUGGCGCCUCCUGUAUACUCCCUGUAUACUUUUGGGUCAGCCUCAAGGUGCCCUUUUCUAAUAUAUGUUUUUUGUGUGUUUGCCUAUCAAAAAAAAAAACUUGUUUUCCACAUUUCAUCGAAUUUUUUUUAUAUAAUAUGAAGUCGAGAUUAAAUUUCUUUCCACACUUGUAAAUUAUUCAAAACAAUCUUCGGCUUUUAUAGGUCAAGCAUUAGCUUUACUUGAGCUUGUACAACUUCAAAACAAUUAUUACUUAGAGUAUGAUCUCUCUCUCUCUCUCUAUAUAUAUAUAUAUAUAUGUUUGAUAGGUAAAUUUUUGUUUCUAUUGGGACUCGAACCUGAAAUCUCCCACAAACUCUCCCCAACCCUUUAUCACUAGAGCCAAGCAUCAAGGGCUCUUGGAGUAUGAACUAUGAUUGCAUACUCAACAUUGACAGUUAAAAUCCGUGUCAUCACUCACAUAAAUAUGUUUGGUGCAUUAGUUAAUUGAGAGAUUAUGACCAGCCGCUCAUAUAGCCUAUCCUUAGGAUAUAUAGUAAGCAAAAAACCUCCAGGAAGGCUCAACCUUAAUCUUUCUUGAAUAAAGCCUUCAAUAGAUGAUUCAUCAACUUGUCUUUAAGGACUUGCUUGCUUCAUAGGACUUGCAUAGUAGAUGGAUAAAUUAGGUGAUUAAUUCUUUAGCACCUUAGGAAUUUGCUUGCUAGAAUCAACCAGCAUUCGUCGCACUUCUUUGAGCUCUCUUACAAGUUAUUUUGGGAUAGAUUCCACCACAUUUGGCAUUCUAGAUCCAUCAUACCUUACUCCUUGUUUGCAGCUUCAAAUUAUUUCUUAAUGGAGUAUUUGGUGGUUUUUUUGGUUCUUAGAAUGUUGAUUGCUCCAUUAGUUGCUAAGGUGGUGAAAUUUCCUUAAAUGAAUAGAGAAUCUUCUUAUGCUCAUUUUGACAUGUGUUCUCAUGACCAUCAUGUUGCACUCUCUCAUCAAAAGUCAUAGUCUUUCAAACAAAAUAUGAACAAAUUUCAUCGACAAAACAUCACAACAUAUCAAUAGCUCAAAAUUAUUGAUAAAAGUAGAUGACAACUAUUACAAUGAGAACUCAUUGUAAUAGAGUUGUCAUCUACUUGUGUUAUUUAAUAAGGAUUUGGAUGCUUCUUUGUCUUUAAGUUAAGCUUGUCAACAAGUUCUUAUGAAGCUAAGUUGGAAUUAAUAUUUACAAUAAUCAUUGCCCAAUUUUGUUGGACUGUGGAGGAGCGAGGAAGGGGCCUUCCCCCUUCAGGUUUGAGAAUAUGUGGCUGAAGGAAGAAGGUUUUAAAGAUUUGUUAAGGAAUUGGUGGAUGAGCUUCCAAUUCAGAGGUUCUUUCAGUUUCACUCUGUCUGAAAAACUGAAAGCGCUUAAGGCCUGCUUGAAGAUUUGGAACAGAGAAGUGUUUGGUAAUGUCACUACUAGAAAAGAUUCAACUUUAAAGCAGAUGAUGUCUUGGGAUUCAAUAGAAGGGGAUAGGGUGUUGUCUGCUGAAGAGCAAACUCUCAGAAAGCAGGCUUUGGAGGAGUAUAAGAAAUGGGUGAUAAUGGAAGAGACAUCCUGGAGGCAAAAGUCUAUAGAGUUAUGGCUGAGGGAGGGUGACAAAAAUACUGGUUAUUUUCAUAAAAUGGCCAAUGCACAUAAAAGGGUCAAUUCCCUAGUGAAGAUUAAGAUAAAUGGGUCGUGGGUAACAGAAGAACGUGACAUCAAGGAUGGUGUGGUUCAGGCUUUCCACUCUCUAUUGUCGGUAAUAGAUGAGUGGAGGCCCAGAUGCAAUGGGCUGCAGGUUGGGGUUUUGGAAGGGGAAGUUGCAGCAUUGUUAGAGGCUCCUUUUUCUGAGGAAGAGGUGUUCGGUGCUCUCUCGGUGGUUUCACAAUGGCGUUUUGGCAAUUCAGUUGGAGCUUUCUGAAGGAGGAAGUUAUGGGGUUCUUUAAGGACUUUCAUGAUCAGGGCAAGUUCGUCAAGAGCAUUAAUGCUUCUUUUAUGGUUUUAAUUCCUAAGAAAGGAGGAGCUGAAGACCUCAAGGACUUUAGGCCUAUAAGCUUGGUGGGAAGUCUUUAUAAGUUGUUAGCAAAGGUGUUAGCUAAUAGGCUUAAAAAGGUGAUGGGUAAGUUAGUGUCCAAGUCCCAAAAUGCAUUUGUGGAGGGAAGGCAAAUCCUGGAUGCUUCGUUGAUUGCGAAUGAGGCGAUUCAUUCAAUGCAGAAAAGUGGGGGAGGUGGCAUCCUUUGUAAGUUGGAUAUUGAGAAGGUAUACGACCAUGUGAAUUGGAGUUUUCUUCUUUGGUUGAUGGAAAUGAUGGGUUUUGGAGCCAAGUGGAUCAGCUGGAUUCAGUGGUGUAUUGGGACUAUUAGUUUCUCUGUCCUUAUUAAUGGAACUUCCUCAGGAUUCUUCCAAAGUUCUCAGGGAUUGAGACAGGGGGAUUCCCUAUCCCCCUACCUGUUCGUGAUUGUCAUGGAGGCCCUUAGUUGUUUGUUGAAGAGAGUGAAGGAGGGGGGUUUUUUGCUGGGGUGGCAGCUCAGUGGUAGAAGAGGUGUGGGAGUGGAGAUCACUCAUUUGCUGUUCGCGGAUGACACUUUAGUAUUUUGUGAGCCUUCCAUUGAUUAGGUGUCCUACAUGAGUUGGCUUCUUAUUUGGUUCGAAGCCAUGUCAGGGUUGAAGGUGAACUUGGACAAAAGUGAGAUCAUCGCGGUGGGAAAAGUGGAGAAUGUAGAGGACCUGCCCCUUGAGUUUGGUUGCAAGGUUAGCCAGCUCCCUUCUUCUUAUUUGGGUCUUCCUUUGGGUGCUUGUUUCAAGGAGGUGGCUACUUGGGAUGGAGUUGAGGAAAGGCUGAGGAAGAGGCUUUCACUUUGGAAAAGGCAGUAUAUCUCCAAGGGGGGUAGAAUGACCUUGAUCCGAAGCACUCUGUCCAGCAUGCCUAUCUACUGGAUGUCCUUGUUUCAUAUGCCAAGGAGCAUGAGUUUGAGAUUGGAGCGGAUUCAAAGGGACUUUCUUUGGGGUGGUGGGGCCCUGGAAAGGAAGCCCCAUUUAGUGGAAUGGUCUAUUGUUUGCUCAGAUAAACGAAAGGGUGGAUUGGAUGUGAGGAACUUGGCAUUGCUAAAUAAGGCACUCCUAUGUAAGUGGAGUUGGCGUUUUGCGGUGGAAAGGGAAGCUUUAUGGAGGCAAGUUAUAUGUGCAAAGUAUGGGGAAGAAGAGGGUGGUUGGAGGUCCCGUGUUGUGAGAGGUAGUUUUGGGGUUGAUUUGUGGAAAGCGAUUAGGAGAGGUUGGGAUGUGUUAGGUGACAAUUUGGUUUAUUCUGUGGGACAUGGUAGGAGGGUUAGAUUUUGGAAGGACAAGUGGUGUGGAGAUAAUCCUUUGUGUACUU
RNAcentral lists this long non-coding RNA (30133 nucleotides) under Vitis vinifera (wine grape). Its description in RNAcentral is "long non-coding RNA (VVIN_LNC001351)". Lineage: Eukaryota; Viridiplantae; Streptophyta; Magnoliopsida; Vitales; Vitaceae. The record is from RNAcentral.